CGAGAACUGAUCCCAACGAGAAUAGUCGGGUGGAUUCUGCCAAUCAAAAAGAUUUCCUCCGAUUAAAAGGUAUGGAAGUUCCAUCAUAGCGAGAGCUGAUGAUCGAACAAACUCUCUAUGAUGCCAAACUUAGUUCGAUAACUUUCUUAGGUAUAACAUAGUCGGUCAUUUCACUUUUUUCUUUGUUUAUUUUGGAAUUUUGUACUAACUUUUAUUUCUUUUUGAUUGCAGCUAUGUGGAGAGGGCAC
This 248-nucleotide long non-coding RNA is filed under the name Elaeis guineensis (African oil palm). RNAcentral describes it as "long non-coding RNA (EGUI_LNC011340)". The record is from RNAcentral. Lineage: Eukaryota; Viridiplantae; Streptophyta; Magnoliopsida; Arecales; Arecaceae.